UACGGGGGGGGCAAGCGUUGUUCGGAAUUACUGGGCGUAAAGGGCUCGUAGGCGGCCAACUAAGUCGGAUGUGAAAUCCCCAGGCUCAACCUGGGAACUGCAUCCGAUACUGGAUGGCUUGAAUUCGGGAGAGGGAUGCAGAAUUCCAGGUGUAGCGGUGAAAUGCGUAGAUAUCUGGAGGAAUACCGGUGGCGAAGGCGGCAUCCUGGACCGACAUUGACGCUGAUGAGCGAAAAGCUAGGGGAGCAAACGGG
RNAcentral lists this ribosomal RNA (254 nucleotides) under uncultured bacterium. RNAcentral's name for it is "partial 16S ribosomal RNA". It matches the Rfam family "Bacterial small subunit ribosomal RNA", at positions 524 to 776 of the family's 1533-position model. The record is from RNAcentral.